AUUGAGUUAAGGUGGUAUGGGAGUCUAAAAUGAAAAUGAUAGAAUUUGUUCAUACUUUGCCAAAACGUUGUAUCUAUUGAUACAUGUUGAAAAAUAUAAUAAAAACGAUAGGUCACCGUGCAUUUUCUCAAGCUACAGGACGGGACAAAAUGACACAUUUUGUAUCGAUUAUACAGGAAAAAACAUCAUUUUGUGAUUAGAAACUAAACAAAAUGAUAGAAUUGUUAAAUACUUCAGGAAAAGAUAGCUUUCAGACACUGCUUUGAGAAUAUCAAAAGAAAAGAUAGGGUCACCGUACGUUUUUUCCGGCUAAAAUAUAAAAUAGGAAAAUUCCAUACAGAAUCCUUCAGAAAAUGCACUUUUUAAGAGUUACCUCCCCUUAAGAUGCCAAUUUAAAAAAAAAAAUAAAAACAAC
This 415-nucleotide long non-coding RNA is filed under the name Mytilus galloprovincialis (Mediterranean mussel). Lineage: Eukaryota; Metazoa; Mollusca; Bivalvia; Mytilida; Mytilidae. The record is from RNAcentral.